CAUGCAUGUCUUCGACGUAUAAGAGGAAGCGAUCCAUAAAUCUGCGAACGGCUCCGUAUAUCUGUUAUCACCCCAGGCCACUUAAAAGAUCUCGGAUACCCACGGUAAUUCUGAGGCUAAUACGUAUACGUAACCUGGGCUACCAGGACACGGCGUCCCCCACCGGGGGGGGCGCCGGGGCUAGCCGAUUGAUGCCGGAGGGCCCCGCAAGGGGUCCACUGUCGUGAGUGCAGGCUAGUGCGCCACACCGCCGGGGCAUUAUAUCCCGCGGGGUGCGCUCCGGGUGCCAGCCCUAUUAACUAGAUGUCCGGCCAAGGCCCGGCCACGGUGAUAACGGGUACAGAGGAUUAGGGUUCGAUCCUGGAGAGGAAGCCUGAGAGAUCGCUUCUACUUCUAAGGAAGGCAGCAGGCGCGCAACGUUCCCAAUGGGGAAACCCUGAGGACGUGAGGGGAUAUAGCAAUGCCCCGCCCAUAAAGCGGGGCAAUUGCAAUGGGGGUCCUCUAAACCCUCCACCGAGUAACAAUUGGAG
Molecule: ribosomal RNA, 530 nt
Filed under: Trichia varia
Lineage: Eukaryota; Evosea; Eumycetozoa; Trichiida; Trichiidae
Description: SSU rRNA
Rfam family: Eukaryotic small subunit ribosomal RNA
Source: RNAcentral